This 460-nucleotide long non-coding RNA is filed under the name Cricetulus griseus (Chinese hamster). RNAcentral's name for it is "lncRNA (ENSCGRG00015036433.1)". The record is from RNAcentral. Lineage: Eukaryota; Metazoa; Chordata; Mammalia; Rodentia; Cricetidae.
AAGCAGUCCACCUAUGAAGGGUAUUGCUUUCUCCUCCACUUCUGAAAAGUCUGUCCUAGUUUUCUCUUUGCCAGCAUCGCCCUUGAGUUGUACACCUCCCAGCCAGGGAAGAGAUGGAAUCUCACCCUUCAUGAACGAAGGGGUGAGUAACACCUGCCAGGAGCUGCAGAUAGCUCCCUGAAAAAUGAGCUGUAAGUGUGACCUUGCUGGUGGCAGAUGCUCUUCACUGACAGGCAGAGAAGUCUAGGUGUGGUAUAACAUGUGGGAGGCGCUUAGCAGAUGCCAUGUGAGACCAAAAAGGAGUAAGAGACUGAAAGGAGAUGUUGGCUCCACCAAACCUCAGACUGCAAUCCCAGAUUGCUAUGCUCUCCUCAACGUGGCUGUAGAAUCCUGAGACUGACUACUGAAGACCCUGCUCCUAUCGUUUACACCUCUCUAGAUCUGGGAUUAAAGGCAUGAG